CAUCCGCGCUCUCGAACAGCAUCCGCCAGUAGAAGUGACGCCGCAGCCGCUCCCCACGCCAGCGGCUCUGCAGCCCCAGCUGGUGCCGAUCCGAGUCCUGACCCAUUCACUGCUCCUGGCCUCAGGGAAACUGCUCACCCAACAAACUUCAUGGUUGCUUGGCACAAGCCAUGGACAUUUAAUGGUCCCCCUCACCAUCUGGCUUUUAUACUUCUACUGUUUCUUAUACCUGGAACACCCGCUCCCUGUUUCCACGCCAUUCCCAAACCUGGGUAAGUUUUGCUUUCGUUUUAAAUAUCAGACUUCUACUGACCAUGUUUUGGAGUUAGGAGCGUCCCUCAGCUUAGCCCCGCUGCCACCCGCUUCUGCCACAGCCCUCGCCACAGCAGGUUGAGCUUCCUGGCUAGACACACAUCUCCUCCAGCUGUGAGCUCCAGACCAGCGUCUACAUCACCUGCUAAGUACUGCACACGGCUCUUACCACACAGUAGGUGCUCAAUCCACAUGUCCACAGAUGAAUGGAUACAUAGUUGGCCUCCACGUCUCCUGCCCUCCUCAUUCCUGAGGCUCUGACUUCGAAUAGAAGGGAGAGGCCAGCUGGUCCAAUGUGCAGGGGCCUGGGGAGCUGGGGAAGAGCAAUACCCUGGAAGUUUCUCCGAAUCUAGAAGACCAUCUGUUUCCGCCCAGGUUAGGAUGAGGGAGGCGCCAGCCCCGCCAGCAUCCGUCACCACCUGGCAGGCCUCCUGCUACCUCCCCGCCCACUCCUCCUCCCUCCUCUGCCAGCUUUCAGCUAAUGGCAGACAAAGGGCUCACAUCAUCCAGACCUGGGAUGGGGAGGGGUGAAAGGAGGUUUGUGCCACCCGUCCACGGAGCUUGGGGGCGUAAGAGAAGCACAGAAACCACACUGCCUAGCCCUUUUGAGCCCAGCCUCACUCUUGUCCUUUUGGCAACAGGACCAAAGCAGUGGUUGCUCCUUCCAGCCAGCGCUCACUACUCGCUGCCAGGGGCCCGUGAGAUGUUGGAGGCUUGUGGGGAAAAUGGACUUUAAAACACGGGGAAAACCUACAGAAUUGAAGUUAAUAAAUGUUUAAUUAAAUGUCUGCAAAACAGAACAUGAUGUCAGCUAGUCAUUUGCAAUUUUGCUUUUAUUGGGUUAUAUAUAAUUUACAUUUGAUGUUUCAUGUGGCUGUAUUUUAAUAUGCUUGAUGUUAAGCCACUGAGGUCUUAAAACCAUACUGUCUAGGACAUGCAACCUUAUUUCCCUGGCUUUUCCCCUUCCUCUGGAACACGGCUGUGUACCCUAUGUGCAUCACAGUCACCAGAAUGAAGAUCCCCAAGGUAAGAUGGCUGUGUGAGUUUGUGUCCCAGCCCUGCCAUGGACCCUGCUUUGUGGCCUUGGGUCAUUUCAGCUUUCCUGGACCUUAUAUUUUUCCCCCAUCAUUGUAAGCACCAAGUGAUAAAGAGAUAACGGUAACUUACAAACUGUCGGGAUGUGGGCACAGCAUCAGUGAGAGAAGCAUGUAUUGGGUGGGGGUCUCUGACUCCUUGUGGCCACAGAGCGACUGCUCUUGAAACCUCCUCCAGGAAUCCCCCUGCAUGCUACAUCCUAUUCCGUUGAAAAAGCAGAUGUCACCAUAGUUGGGGCAGAACACCCACACAGGACACCUCAAAACACAUCCAGUGCCACUCCAAGCCAUCUCUAGGGUGGGUGCCACCAAUUGGUACAAGUGCCCAUCAUCAUCUCUUGCCAGGACAACCACAUCAGCCUUCCCUUCUCAGUGGAUCUCAUCCAUCCACUCCCACCCCCUACAGUUCAUUCUCCAUAUUUCCCAGCGGGAAAUUCUUAAAGGCUUACAGAUCUGGUCACUCACUUUCUAGAAGCCUUACACAGGCCUCUUAUCACACUUGGAACGAGACCCAAGCUUCUCCCCUCAGCUUGCAGGCUCCCAACCAUCUGGCCUGAUCCUUUUCUCACUGUGUCUCAAACUACGGGUUGCUUGUUCUCCGCACCCCAGCUGCAGCAGGAGUUCCCUGCCAGACUCGUUCCAGUCUCAGGACUCCUGCACUUGCUGUGUGCUCAAGCCUGGAACACCCUUCCCCAGAUCCUGCUCUGCCUAGCUACUCAUCAGCUCCCUCACACAUUCUUAGAGGCCACCCAUCCCACAUUGCGCCUACCACCCCCAAGGUUCAUUCUAGUCCAUCGUAUUCCUGCCUUCCCUCUGGUCCUCUAGCCUUCAUCUCCUGAGUGCUGGGAUUGCAGGUGUGAGACACCACAUCCUGUUUAUGAAGGGCUGGGAUCAAUCCCAGGGCUUUGUGGAUGCCGUGCAAGCAUUCUGCCAGCUGAGGUUGGUCUUCAGCUCCUAGACCUUUUCUCUCUAUUCUGUCACUGGUGCUCCACGGGGCAGGGGCCUCGUUUGUAACGGUCACCAGAGUGCCCUCUGCUUUUGCACAGGUAGAAGGCAAGUAUAAAUGUUGAAUGAACUGAUAAAGAAGUCUUGUGUGUGUUUCCUUCCUGGUCUUUGCAGGCUCUGGGCUUCUCUGUCUCAGUCCACACAAAGCCAGAACACCUCCCAGAACUCCACUCCGUGUAUUCAUUCUGUUGUUCUUCCUCCAGGAAGUCUUCCCUGGUGCCCCUUUAUGAUUGUCAGAUGUCAGUGGCCUGAAGCCCAGACUCUGCAGCCAGUACCCUUAACCUACAGGCCACUGUAGCUUGCGUCCUCACUUUACAAGGGUAUAGAGAUAUCUAAUGACAUUGAAUUUCUGGUUCCUAGUCUUCUUUUUUUUUUUUAAAAAUUUUUGAGAUAGGGUCUUGCUAUACGACUCUGGUUGGCCUAGAAUCUACUAAAUAAUCUAGAAUGGCCUCAAAUUUAUGAGAUUGCUCCUGCUUUAUCUUCCCAAGAGUUAGGAUUGCCGAUGUGAAUCUUGUUGUGUCAUUUCUGACUUCCUGUCUCUAAACCAAUCAAGAUAUUAUUUCAUUUCUUGGUGUGUGUGUGUGUGUGUGUGUGUGUGUGUGUGUGUGUGUGUGUGUGUGUAGGCAUGUGUGGGCCAUGUGUGGAGGUUGGGGGACAUCCUGUGGGAGUCAGCUCUUUCCUUCUCACAUGUGAGACCCAGGAAUCAAAAUCAAGUGGUUAGGCCUGGUAAUAAGUGUCUUUGACUUCUGAGCCAUCUCGCCAGCCUCCAGCUCACUGUCUGAUGCUAAGAGAAGAAGCGUGCUCUAGAAGAGAAAGCUGAGGAGCCAAUAAGCAUAAACAGGUGGGGCUGAGAGCAAAAAAGGCCUGGCCUGAGAAGUGGAGGCCAACAGUUAGUACUGGAAUCCACCUGCUCUGGAUCCAUGGCUUCCUCAAGACCCUACAACCUCCAUGAGCAGGCAGCAGAACCAGUAAGUGGACAGAAUUCACUCUUCUUCCCCUAUCCGGUCACUCCUGUGGCCCAGCAUCUUCUAGAGCCCAAGGGAUUUGCUUUAAUGGAGACAAGGAGGUGCGUCACUGUCCCUGAGAAACUUGAGUUCAGUCCUCGGCUUACCCAUCUCUCUCCUGUGAGGUAAAGUUCCUGUCAUUGAUUUUUGUCUCCAUUCAGACAGGCAAACGUGGCCUCAGACCUCAGAUCAUUGUCUGUUAGUGGUGCCUCCCCUUGAACAUCGGUCAUUUCUAUCCAUUUACCAUGGUCAGUCAAUCCGAGGGUCUCUUUCUGGGACGCUGCACCAUCACACCUGUCUAUGCUGUACCAUCCUGUUCUUCAGAUGCUACAUUCCUCUGACAGCCUAACCUACGUUCUGGAUACAGUGUUUUUUCCCCUUCUGUGGGUCUCUCUGCCUGGGGUUUCCAGUCCUUCAGUGGUCCAUCUGCUGGCCUGCUGCUCAGCUCAUGGCUCGGCAUGACUGCCCGUUUUCCAGCCGUUCUCUCCUGCUUGAUUUUCUUCUUCCUGACUCUGGGUUCUUCUCCUGUCUGUCUGUGUCUCUCACAUCCUCAGCUCCUCCAUCUGUCGGUCUCCGAGUUUCUGAGCCUGUGUUCUCUCCCCUCACCACUCCCCCUCAGGGCUCUGGGCCAAAACCACAACAGCUUCCAGAGGCUCCUCCGCUCUGCUUGCUCCAUCGGGGAAGCAGCCUGCAGGCCUGCUAAAGACCCCUGUCUUGCCCUGUGACAUCUGCUGGCUGAGGGUGGGGCUGGGAGGCAAUGGGCCUCCCAUCCUCCAAGUCCUUCACAUCUGCAGGAUGACAGACAGUGUGCAGGGCCUGCCGAUAAUGAUAUCAACUCACAUUAAGCACCAACCUUCCGGCACAACUGGGGAAUCAAAAAAGUGGUAAUGUGGUACAAGCAGACACAUAAGCAAGGCAUCUUGAAGGAUGCUGCUCAGGGGCUUUGUCAGGGAAGAAACCUGGUACUUUCUAGCUAGGCACGAUCAUAUUUGCCUGUAAGCCUGUCCAUGGGGAGCUGAAGCAGGAGGAUUGCUGGUCUGAGGCCAGCAAAGGUUAGACCCUAUCUCAAACUACAAAACAAGUAAGCUGAGUCGGAAGGGUUCCUGUGAAUCCAACACCAGCCUGUGCUACAUAAUAACUUCCAAGUUGGUCUGGGCUACUCAGUGAGACUCUUGUUUCAAAACAAAACAAAAAGCCAGAAUUGCUAACUGAAAGAGGUUGGUAGUUUCUGGCCAAGUUGAGUUUCCCACUAAAGCUGUCCCUAAGAACAGAGGGCCAGAGAAGAUCUGUCUGGCUAGGCGAGUUCAAUGGGCAGUUUCUUUUCUAGGGGUUCUCCACCCACGGCAGACAGUAACUGCCAUUCGUCCACUAUAUUCUGUUUUGGACCUUGCUAAAAUCACGUGACUUCUGUGACUGGGAGCCCAUCUUCUGAUGAAGAGACUGGAUAUCAUCAAAGAAAAAGUUCAUUUGAUGUGCGUGUGGGGUGGGUGUUGGGGGCUUGAGCUCAGGGCCCUGAACGUGCUAAGCAUGUGCUCUGUCCUUGAACUAUCUUCUUAGCUCCACUUGACAUUUAUUUCCCAAACACUGCUGAGUACCCUUUGUGUGCCAAGAACUAUGGUGGACACGGGUGGGGUUCUUCCAACCCAUUUGUAGGAAUAUUUUUUAAUAAUGAAGGCCUGGACACUGAUUAAAUCAUUGUGUAAAUUCGAAGAGACCAUGUUCCCUAGGCUCCAGUCAUGGGUUUUGUGCUGCAGCAUAGAGAAUACCAGUGGGAGUGGAGAAGGUUCUACAGACAGGGAGGAUUCUCUGGGAGUUGUGAUUGCCGAGCGAUCUGAAGUAGGUGCAGAAGCUAAGCAGGUGGACAGGGGAGGAGGGGAGGUUUUGUAGAGGAAACAACUUGAGCAAAGGUCUUUAUCUCAUGACCCAGGAAGGUUCUAAAGAGGAAGGUUUUAGAGGUGACAGCUGUGGAGAACCUCAUGGUGACAAGAGUGGAGGGUAGGUCUGCUGCCCGUUCAGGAAAAGGAUGGGCUUUUGUCAACGAAGGAGACAGUUACCAGUCAUUUGGAAGAGGUACUCUUCCAACUCCAACAUCCGGACAGCAACAGAGCUGUGUCUCAGGACACGGAGAGGUGCCUCAAUGUCGCCAGCGAGAGGAUCAAGCUGAGUGGAGGAACCCAGGCCCCACCUGUGGGGUUUGCUGGAGAGCCCAGGAAGAAUGACCUCAUCGUCCCCUUCUCUUGGUUUAUGCCUCAAUUCUGAGCACUCCUGCACGGAUGCGAAAAUAGGCCCUUCCUGGGGUUGGCAGCCAAAAGAAUCCUAAAUGUCAGUAAAGAAUGUGAUUUUACACGUUUGGCUCCCAUCUCAUGUGGUGCUGGGAGCCAGGCUGUCUCCCUUCUCCUUCACAGCCCCUGGAGAGCCACAGCCCCUCUUCUUCACUGGCACCAGGCCAAACACUUCCGGCCACUGAGUUUAGGCCUUAGCUACAAACCUGUGACUUUCUCCCACCCCACCCUCUCUCACCACCCCCCAGCCAGAGGCUCUAUUCUUGCUCAGUGGAAAAACAGAAAAGCUACUCUGGGGUAACAUUUUUGGGACCAGGCUUCUCACAUCCCUCCUUUCUCUGGGCCUCAGCUUUGCCAGCUAUGUUAUGGGUUGGUGAUGUGCAAGAGAGACUAAAGCUUAGAGCCCUGUGCUCUGAAGGUUCUGAAGGUCCUUUUUUGCUCUCCCCCCAAACCCAUGCCCCAUCCUGUCCCCCGCCUCUGGGUGGAGCUAGGAUGUUCAGAGACAGUGGGGAGGGGCCUUCAUUCCAAUCUCCUGGUGACAUUUGAAGGUAUCUGGAAACUAACGCAGACAGAAAGAAUCACAUCUGGCUGUUUGUGGUCUCACGGAAAUUCCAGAAGUAGACUGAUCUCAUUUGCGGGGUGUGUGUGUGUGUGUGUGUGUGUGUGUGUGUGUGUGUGUGUGUAGAGGCACACUCUAUCUAAAGAGGAAGCCUGCUUCAGCUCCGACCACCCACAUCCUAGGAGAGGAUACAGUUCAACGACAGAGGCUCCAUUUUGUUUCCCCUUCUAACAUUUUCAAGCCCACCCAGAAAUUAGGACAUUAACCAAAAAGGUAAGUCCCACGUUGGGAAUGAUGGUGACUAGUUAAUGAGAUAUCAGACGAUGUUACAAGGAAAACCCUUCUGUGCUCUCAUGAGUUUAUAUGCACCACAUGCUUGGCAGUUACGAGCACUUGUUGCUCUUGCAGAGGACCUGGCCUUGGUUCCCAACACCUAUACGGUGGC
RNAcentral lists this small RNA (6701 nucleotides) under Rattus norvegicus (Norway rat). RNAcentral's name for it is "uncharacterized LOC108350503". The record is from RNAcentral. Lineage: Eukaryota; Metazoa; Chordata; Mammalia; Rodentia; Muridae.